RNAcentral lists this unclassified non-coding RNA (449 nucleotides) under uncultured Vermispora. Its description in RNAcentral is "sequence contains ITS2". The stretch from base 1 to 154 matches the Rfam family "5.8S ribosomal RNA". The record is from RNAcentral. Lineage: Eukaryota; Fungi; Ascomycota; Orbiliomycetes; Orbiliales; Orbiliaceae.
AACUUUCGGCAACGGAUCACUUGGUUCUCGCAUCGAUGAAGAACGCAGCGAAACGCGAUAGGUAAUGUGAAUUGCGGAAUUCCGUGAAUCAUCGAAUCUUUGAACGCACAUUGCGCCUUCUGGUAUUCCGGUAGGCAUGCCUGUUUGAGCGUCAGCAAAACACCCUCAGCCCGAGUAUUUUUAACCGGAUAUUCGACGCUGGUCUUGGGCAGUGGAUGCCGGUGGUCUUUAAUAUGCCAUCCUGCGCCCUCCCUAAACUUGCUGCACGACCGCGAGCCCCUUCUAGCCAGGUCAAUGGAGUGGUGUUACAAUCUUCCAAAAAGCCUGCUGGGAAACUGCUUUGCGGCGUUAAAUACCAGUUGUCUCCCCCUGCAAGGAGAGACCGAAAUUUUGACCUCAGAUCAGACAAGGAUACCCGCUGAACUUAAGCAUAUCAAUAAGCGGAGGCU